UACGUAGGGUGCGAGCGUUAAUCGGAAUUACUGGGCGUAAAGCGUGCGCAGGCGGUUUUUUAAGACAGUUGUGAAAUCCCCGGGCUCAACCUGGGAAUUGCAUCUGUGACUGUAUAGCUAGAGUACGGUAGAGGGGGAUGGAAUUCCGCGUGUAGCAGUGAAAUGCGUAGAUAUGCGGAGGAACACCGAUGGCGAAGGCAAUCCCCUGGACCUGUACUGACGCUCAUGCACGAAAGCGUGGGGAGCAAACAGG
RNAcentral lists this ribosomal RNA (253 nucleotides) under uncultured bacterium. Its description in RNAcentral is "partial 16S ribosomal RNA". It matches the Rfam family "Bacterial small subunit ribosomal RNA", at positions 524 to 776 of the family's 1533-position model. The record is from RNAcentral.